UACCAGCACCCCGAGUGGUCGGGACGAUUAUUGGGCCUAAAGCAUCCGUAGCCGGUUCUACAAGUCUUCCGUUAAAUCCACCUGCUUAACAGAUGGGCUGCGGAGGAUACUAUGGAGCUAGGAGGCGGGAGAGGCAAGCGGUACUUAGUGGGUAGGGGUAAAAUCCGUUGAUCCAUUGAAGACCACCAGUGGCGAAGGCGGCUUGCCAGAACGCACUCGACGGUGAGGGAUAAAAGCUGGGGGAGCAAACCGG
This 253-nucleotide ribosomal RNA is filed under the name uncultured bacterium. Its description in RNAcentral is "partial 16S ribosomal RNA". It matches the Rfam family "Archaeal small subunit ribosomal RNA", at positions 474 to 727 of the family's 1478-position model. The record is from RNAcentral.